AGUCGAACGAGUUCUCGUUGAUGAUCGGUGCUUGCACCGAGAUUCAACAUCGAUCGAGUGGCGGACGGGUGAGUAACACGUGGGUAACCUGCCCUUAAGUGGGGGAUAACAUUUGGAAACAGAUGCUAAUACCGCAUAGAUCCAAGAACCGCAUGGUUCUUGGCUGAAAGAUGGCGUAAGCUAUCGCUUUUGGAUGGACCCGCGGCGUAUUAGCUAGUUGGUGAGGUAAUGGCUCACCAAGGCGAUGAUACGUAGCCGAACUGAGAGGUUGAUCGGCCACAUUGGGACUGAGACACGGCCCAAACUCCUACGGGAGGCAGCAGUAGGGAAUCUUCCACAAUGGACGCAAGUCUGAUGGAGCAACGCCGCGUGAGUGAAGAAGGCUUUCGGGUCGUAAAACUCUGUUGUUGGAGAAGAAUGGUCGGCAGAGUAACUGUUGUCGGCGUGACGGUAUCCAACCAGAAAGCCACGGCUAACUACGUGCCAGCAGCCGCGGUAAUACGUAGGUGGCAAGCGUUAUCCGGAUUUAUUGGGCGUAAAGCGAGCGCAGGCGGUUUUUUAAGUCUGAUGUGAAAGCCCUCGGCUUAACCGAGGAAGCGCAUCGGAAACUGGGAAACUUGAGUGCAGAAGAGGACAGUGGAACUCCAUGUGUAGCGGUGAAAUGCGUAGAUAUAUGGAAGAACACCAGUGGCGAAGGCGGCUGUCUGGUCUGUAACUGACGCUGAUGCUCGAAAGCAUG
RNAcentral lists this ribosomal RNA (739 nucleotides) under uncultured bacterium. Its description in RNAcentral is "bacterial SSU rRNA". It matches the Rfam family "Bacterial small subunit ribosomal RNA", at positions 60 to 763 of the family's 1533-position model. The record is from RNAcentral.